Molecule: microRNA, 23 nt
Filed under: Blattella germanica (German cockroach)
Lineage: Eukaryota; Metazoa; Arthropoda; Insecta; Blattodea; Blattellidae
Description: Bge-Mir-278_5p* (star (passenger))
Source: RNAcentral
ACGGAUGAUCGUCUCCGCCAACC